CAGCCGGACCGGACGGUCGCUGACGCCUUCACCGGCGGCAGAGGAAAGUCCGAACUCCGCAGAGCAGUGUGCCGGAUAACGUCCGGGAGGUCCGGUUCAAGCCGGGCCGACGGAAAGUGCCACAGAAAACAUACCGCUUGCGAGCCCUGUGGGUUAGUCCGCGGGGUCCCCAUCGUGCCGUCUUUGCGCGAUGGGGUGCAAGUAAGGGUGAAAAGGUGCGGUAAGAGCGCACCGCCUGUUUAGUAAUAAACGGGGCAGGGCAAACCCCACACGGAGCAAGACCAAAUAGGGGACCAGUCCGGGAGCGAUCCCGGCACGCGCUGGCUCGGCGCGGAUGAGUUCCGGGUAGGUCGCUAGAGCCGCACAGUAAUGCGCGGCCCAGAGGAAUGACCGUCCCACCCGCAAGGGCGGACAAAAUUCGGCUUACAGGUCCGGUUGCCUC
RNAcentral lists this RNase P RNA (442 nucleotides) under Terriglobia bacterium. RNAcentral describes it as "RNase P RNA component class A". It matches the Rfam family "Bacterial RNase P class A". Rfam says of the family: Ribonuclease P (RNase P) is a ubiquitous endoribonuclease, found in archaea, bacteria and eukarya as well as chloroplasts and mitochondria. Lineage: Bacteria; Pseudomonadati; Acidobacteriota; Terriglobia. The record is from RNAcentral.